ACGUGCGGUUAUUACCCGUUGUCUUUUACAAUCGAAUUACACCGUAAGACGUAAUAUGACGUACUGCGCAUUUACAAUAUGACGGUUAUAAUCAAUUUAAACCGCGAAUUUCGGUAACGAUGAGUUUCUGGAUACGAUUGAAACGAUAUCCGUUAUCCUUGCGUUGUAACUAACGGGUAGGCUAUUUAAUUUCUCGGUACAAACUCGACAGU
Molecule: non-coding RNA, 212 nt
Organism: Cinara cedri
Lineage: Eukaryota; Metazoa; Arthropoda; Insecta; Hemiptera; Aphididae
Source: the annotation of a GenBank genome assembly